GUGGAACUUGACAUGGAUGCUCAGAGUGAAUUGACACUUUGGAGGCUCAGGGUUUUCGUUAAAGAUGCUUUAAAAGUUAUGGGAAGUAAGUCCCUGGGCAUGAAUGGGAACAAUAACAAUGGUGAUGAAAACAAGGAUAUCAACAUCAAUAACAAGAAGAGCAAGAACGCCGUCACCACUGCCACCACGUACACCAACAACAAACGAAGAAGAGAGAUUUGUGAUGUUAUUACCAGAACAUCUACUAAGAAGACUAGGAGGAUCUCCCUCAUUUUAUGACCUACAAUUUCUGGAAGUUCUGCUUUUUCUUUUGUCAUUAUGUGAAGUUGUCUUAGAGUUGGGUCAGAUGGAGAAGACGGACAAGUUCCGAUGCUUACUGGUGAGGCAUGAAAUAUGGACAACUAGGGCUACUGGCGUAAAUGAGCUAAGUAGAAUAGCUCAAACUUGAUUCGAUUCUAAAAUUCGAAGUUUGAAAUUGGACUCAGC
RNAcentral lists this unclassified non-coding RNA (486 nucleotides) under Hevea brasiliensis (rubber tree). The record is from RNAcentral. Lineage: Eukaryota; Viridiplantae; Streptophyta; Magnoliopsida; Malpighiales; Euphorbiaceae.